Molecule: ribosomal RNA, 468 nt
Filed under: uncultured bacterium
Lineage: Bacteria
Description: partial 16S ribosomal RNA
Rfam family: Bacterial small subunit ribosomal RNA
Source: RNAcentral
GACGAACGCUGGCGGCGUGCUUAACACAUGCAAGUCGAACGGAAAGGCCCUGCUUUUGUGGGGUGCUCGAGUGGCGAACGGGUGAGUAACACGUGAGUAACCUGCCCUUGACUUUGGGAUAACUUCAGGAAACUGGGGCUAAUACCGGAUAGGAGCUCCUGCUGCAUGGUGGGGGUUGGAAAGUUUCGGCGGUUGGGGAUGGACUCGCGGCUUAUCAGCUUGUUGGUGGGGUAGUGGCUUACCAAGGCUUUGACGGGUAGCCGGCCUGAGAGGGUGACCGGCCACAUUGGGACUGCGAUACGGCCCAGACUCGUACGGGAGGCAGCAGUGGGGAAUAUUGCACAAUGGGCGGGAGCCUGAGGCAGCAACGCCGCGUGCGGGAUGACGGCCUUCGGGUUGUAAACCGCUUUCGCCUGUGACGAAGCGUGAGUGACGGUAAUGGGUAAAGAAGCACCGGCUAACUACGUG